GGGUUGUGAGGUUAAGCGACUAAGCGUACACGGUGGAUGCCCUGGCAGUCAGAGGCGAUGAAGGACGUGCUAAUCUGCGAUAAGCGUCGGUAAGGUGAUAUGAACCGUUAUAACCGGCGAUUUCCGAAUGGGGAAACCCAGUGUGAUUCGUCACACUAUCAUUACGUGAAUACAUAGCGUAAUGAAGCGAACCGGGGGAACUGAAACAUCUAAGUACCCCGAGGAAAAGAAAUCAACCGAGAUUCCCCCAGUAGCGGCGAGCGAACGGGGAGCAGCCCAGAGUCUGAAUCAGCUUGUGUGUUAGUGGAACGGUCUGGAAAGUCCGACGGUACAGGGUGAUAGUCCCGUACACCAAAAUGCACAGGUUGUGAACUCGAAGAGUAGGGCGGGACACGUGGUAUCCUGUCUGAAUAUGGGGGGACCAUCCUCCAAGGCUAAAUACUCCUGACUGACCGAUAGUGAACCAGUACCGUGAGGGAAAGGCGAAAAGAACCCCGGCGAGGGGAGUGAAAAAGAACCUGAAACCGUGUACGUACAAGCAGUGGGAGCAUCCUUUUGGGUGUGACUGCGUACCUUUUGUAUAAUGGGUCAGCGACUUAUAUUCUGUAGCAAGGUUAACCGUAUAGGGGAGCCGAAGGGAAACCGAGUCUUAACUGGGCGUUAAGUUGCAGGGUAUAGACCCGAAACCCGGUGAUCUAGCCAUGGGCAGGUUGAAGGUUGGGUAACACUAACUGGAGGACCGAACCGACUAAUGUUGAAAAAUUAGCGGAUGACUUGUGGCUGGGGGUGAAAGGCCAAUCAAACCGGGAGAUAGCUGGUUCUCCCCGAAAGCUAUUUAGGUAGCGCCUCGUGAACUCAUCUUCGGGGGUAGAGCACUGUUUCGGCUAGGGGGUCAUCCCGACUUACCAACCCGAUGCAAACUGCGAAUACCGAAGAAUGUUAUCACGGGAGACACACGGCGGGUGCUAACGUCCGUCGUGAAGAGGGAAACAACCCAGACCGCCAGCUAAGGUCCCAAAGUCAUGGUUAAGUGGGAAACGAUGUGGGAAGGCACAGACAGCCAGGAUGUUGGCUUAGAAGCAGCCAUCAUUUAAAGAAAGCGUAAUAGCUCACUGGUCGAGUCGGCCUGCGCGGAAGAUGUAACGGGGCUAAACCAUGCACCGAAGCUGCGGCAGCGACACUAUGUGUUGUUGGGUAGGGGAGCGUUCUGUAAGCCGUUGAAGGUGUAUCGUGAGGUAUGCUGGAGGUAUCAGAAGUGCGAAUGCUGACAUAAGUAACGAUAAUGCGGGUGAAAAACCCGCACGCCGGAAGACCAAGGGUUCCUGUCCAACGUUAAUCGGGGCAGGGUGAGUCGACCCCUAAGGCGAGGCCGAAAGGCGUAGUCGAUGGGAAACAGGUUAAUAUUCCUGUACUUGGUGUUACUGCGAAGGGGGGACGGAGAAGGCUAUGUUAGCCGGGCGACGGUUGUCCCGGUUUAAGCAUGUAGGCGGAGGUUCCAGGUAAAUCCGGUACCUUUUUAACGCUGAGGUGUGAUGACGAGGCACUACGGUGCUGAAGUAACAAAUGCCCUGCUUCCAGGAAAAGCCUCUAAGCAUCAGGUAACACGAAAUCGUACCCCAAACCGACACAGGUGGUCAGGUAGAGAAUACCAAGGCGCUUGAGAGAACUCGGGUGAAGGAACUAGGCAAAAUGGUGCCGUAACUUCGGGAGAAGGCACGCUGAUAUGUAGGUGAAGUGAUUUACUCAUGGAGCUGAAAUCAGUCGAAGAUACCAGCUGGCUGCAACUGUUUAUUAAAAACACAGCACUGUGCAAACACGAAAGUGGACGUAUACGGUGUGACGCCUGCCCGGUGCCGGAAGGUUAAUUGAUGGGGUUAUCCGUAAGGAGAAGCUCUUGAUCGAAGCCCCGGUAAACGGCGGCCGUAACUAUAACGGUCCUAAGGUAGCGAAAUUCCUUGUCGGGUAAGUUCCGACCUGCACGAAUGGCGUAAUGAUGGCCAGGCUGUCUCCACCCGAGACUCAGUGAAAUUGAACUCGCUGUGAAGAUGCAGUGUACCCGCGGCAAGACGGAAAGACCCCGUGAACCUUUACUAUAGCUUGACACUGAACACUGGUCCUUGAUGUGUAGGAUAGGUGGGAGGCUUUGAAGUGUGGACGCCAGUCUGCAUGGAGCCAUCCUUGAAAUACCACCCUUUAAUGGCUGGUGUUCUAACGUGGACCCGUAAUCCGGGUUGCGGACAGUGUCUGGUGGGUAGUUUGACUGGGGCGGUCUCCUCCUAAAGAGUAACGGAGGAGCACGAAGGUUAGCUAAUCCUGGUCGGACAUCAGGAGGUUAGUGCAAAGGCAUAAGCUAGCUUGACUGCGAGAGUGACGGCUCGAGCAGGUGCGAAAGCAGGUCUUAGUGAUCCGGUGGUUCUGAAUGGAAGGGCCAUCGCUCAACGGAUAAAAGGUACUCCGGGGAUAACAGGCUGAUACCGCCCAAGAGUUCAUAUCGACGGCGGUGUUUGGCACCUCGAUGUCGGCUCAUCACAUCCUGGGGCUGAAGUAGGUCCCAAGGGUAUGGCUGUUCGCCAUUUAAAGUGGUACGCGAGCUGGGUUUAGAACGUCGUGAGACAGUUCGGUCCCUAUCUGCCGUGGGCGCUGGAGAAUUGAGGGGGGCUGCUCCUAGUACGAGAGGACCGGAGUGGACGCAUCACUGGUGUUCGGGUUGUCAUGCCAAUGGCAUUGCCCGGUAGCUAAAUGCGGAAGAGAUAAGUGCUGAAAGCAUCUAAGCACGAAACUUGCCCCGAGAUGAGUUCUCCCUGAGACUUUAAGUCUCCUGAAGGAACGUUGAAGACGACGACGUUGAUAGGUCGGGUGUGUAAGCGUAGCGAUACGUUGAGCUAACCGAUACUAAUGAACCGUGAGGCUUAACCUUACAACGCCGAAG
This 2929-nucleotide ribosomal RNA is filed under the name Citrobacter freundii. RNAcentral's name for it is "bacterial LSU rRNA". It matches the Rfam family "Bacterial large subunit ribosomal RNA". Lineage: Bacteria; Pseudomonadati; Pseudomonadota; Gammaproteobacteria; Enterobacterales; Enterobacteriaceae. The record is from RNAcentral.